AGUUCUAACCAUAAACGAUGCCAACCAGUAAUUCGCCUGAGUUCCUUAAAUGACUCGGCGAGGGACUUCCGGGAAACCAAAGUCUUUCGGUUCCAGGGGAAGUAUGGUUGCAAAGCUGAAACUUAAAGAAAUUGACGGAAGGGCACCACCAGGAGUGGAGCCUGCGGCUUAAUUUGACUCAACACGGGAAAACUCACCCGGCCCGGACACUGGAAGGAUUGACAGAUUGAGAGCUCUUUCUUGAUUCAGUGGGUGGUGGUGCAUGGCCGUUCUUAGUUGGUGGAGUGAUUUGUCUGGUUAAUUCCGAUAACGAACGAGACUCUAGCCUACUAAAUAGAUCGUCGGCUUACAAACGCCGACGAGACUUCUUAGAGGGACAGGCGGUGAUUCAACCGCACGAAACAGAGCAAUAACAGGUCUGUGAUGCCCUUAGAUGUCCGGGGCCGCACGCGCGCUACACUGAAGUGAUCAGCGUGCUUUUUCAACCUACUCUGUCAAGAGUGGGGAACCCAAUGAACCUUCUUCGUGAUUGGGAUAGGGGAUUGUAAUUAUUCCCCUUGAACGAGGAAUUCCCAGUAAGCGCGAGUCAUAAGCUCGCGUUGAUUACGUCCCUGCCCUUUGUACACACCGCCCGUCGCUACUACCGAUUGAAUGUUUUAGUGA
Molecule: ribosomal RNA, 663 nt
Filed under: uncultured eukaryote
Lineage: Eukaryota
Description: SSU rRNA
Rfam family: Eukaryotic small subunit ribosomal RNA
Source: RNAcentral